CAAAAGUGCCAGGACAGCUCCGGUUCCAGCCUCAUUCUGCCUGGACCCAAGUUCUGCUUCAUUACCCCUGAAACGUUUCCUUCACGGAAAGCUGGUGGCAGACAUGCUGGGGAGCUUUCUGAGCCCCUGGCUGUGUGGCUCUGUGACAGCAGCCUCCUCUUCUACAACAUCGGCUGGUACAAAAGCACACAGGGCUGGAAAUCAGCUGCCUUGCCCUCUACACUCCACACCAACUCUAAGACUUUGGCACGUCAAGCCUUGUUUCCAUUGAGGAUUUUAAUCUUGGCUGCACUUUUGAAGGUGGGGAGCUUUAAAACUAGAUACAUACGUCUGGGAUGCCAGCAGAUUUUCUGGUUUCCUACCACCAAGAUGGAAUGCCUACCUGAGAACAAGGGCGAAACGCAGGAAGGCCAUGCGGGCGGAUGGAGCUCCAGAAACACUGGUUGA
RNAcentral lists this long non-coding RNA (447 nucleotides) under Callithrix jacchus (white-tufted-ear marmoset). RNAcentral describes it as "lncRNA (ENSCJAG00000051421.2)". The record is from RNAcentral. Lineage: Eukaryota; Metazoa; Chordata; Mammalia; Primates; Cebidae.